Long non-coding RNA from Dromiciops gliroides (monito del monte), 284 nucleotides. RefSeq lists it as uncharacterized. Lineage: Eukaryota; Metazoa; Chordata; Mammalia; Microbiotheria; Microbiotheriidae. The record is from RefSeq and is a predicted model, not a curated record. The transcript has 3 exons.
AUCAGAUUUUGAUAAGAAGUCAGGGCUGAUCAUUUCAUUCUGGUUUCAUAGCUGAAAGGCUGCCUUAUGAAGCAGGAUCUCUGUGAUACAAUCAUCCUGGUUUCUGCAGAGUUUAAAAGGUUUGCAAGGAAGAAAUGAAGAGGGAAGGAUAAGGCAUAAGCAUGAGACUUUCUAAUUAAGGCCAUUACCACUACUCAUAAAGCCACCAUCAUCAGGAUCAGAAGACUAGAAUGCAACUGGAUCUAGGUAAAAUUCAUUCAGCUGGAAACUUACACAGAGGCAGC